UACGUAGGGUGCGAGCGUUGUCCGGAAUUAUUGGGCGUAAAGAGCUCGUAGGCGGUCUGUCGCGUCGAUCGUGAAAACUUGGGGCUUAACCCUGAGCUUGCGGUCGAUACGGGCAUGACUGGAGUUCGGCAGGGGAGACUGGAAUUCCUGGUGUAGCGGUGAAAUGCGCAGAUAUCAGGAAGAACACCUAUGGCGAAGGCAGCUCUCUGGGACGGUACUGACGCUGAGACGCGAAAGCGUGGGGAGCGAACAGG
RNAcentral lists this ribosomal RNA (254 nucleotides) under uncultured bacterium. Its description in RNAcentral is "partial 16S ribosomal RNA". It matches the Rfam family "Bacterial small subunit ribosomal RNA", at positions 524 to 776 of the family's 1533-position model. The record is from RNAcentral.